RNAcentral lists this ribosomal RNA (465 nucleotides) under uncultured bacterium. RNAcentral describes it as "partial 16S ribosomal RNA". It matches the Rfam family "Bacterial small subunit ribosomal RNA", at positions 338 to 795 of the family's 1533-position model. The record is from RNAcentral.
CCUACGGGAGGCAGCAGUGGGGAAUAUUGCGCAAUGGGCGAAAGCCUGACGCAGCGACGCCGCGUGAGGGAUGAAGGUCUUCGGAGCGGAAACCUCUGUUAGCAGGGGAAAAAGGUCACGGUGCUAAUCAGCAGUGAAUUGACGUUACCUAUAAAGGAAGCACCGCCUAACUCCGUGCCAGCAGCCGCGGUAAUACGGAGGGUGGGAGCGUUAAUCGGAUUUACUGGGCGUAAAGCGCUCGUAGGCGGUAUGUCAAGUCAAGGGUGAAAUUCCCGGGCUCAACAUUGGAAUUGCCUUUGAUACUGGCAAACUUGAGUGUGGUAGAGGUUAGUGGAAUUCGUGGUGUAGCAGUGAAAUGCUUAGAUAUCUGGAGGAACACCGGUGGCGAAGGCGGCUAUCUGGCACAUAACUGACGCUGAGGAGCGAAAGCGUGGGUAGCAAACAGGAUUAGAUACCCUUGUAGUC